This 405-nucleotide long non-coding RNA is filed under the name Zostera marina. Its description in RNAcentral is "long non-coding RNA (ZMAR_LNC003050)". The record is from RNAcentral. Lineage: Eukaryota; Viridiplantae; Streptophyta; Magnoliopsida; Alismatales; Zosteraceae.
GUAAAUAUCUUAUAUAUAUACUAUAUUCUUUACAACGUGGUCCCUUUUUGUGAAGAAUGAAGGUCAGAGCAUAUACAGCAGUUGAGUGACGAUAUGGUGAUCAUUGGAGCGGAUGCCGUUACAGUGAACGAAUGUAUAAAGCAGUUGAGUGCGGAAUCACGCCGACAGAUUAUUCCUGGAUCAACAGCUAGCUGUACCUGGCGAAUUUGUUGAACAAGUGCGGAUUUGAUGAUUUGAAUCCUCCGACGACAUCGAUGGAGCUCACUUUCCUACGAUAACCAAUUCAGUUAGAAAAUAAUACUUGAAAAAAUGAAAUAAAUUGAAUUACGUUUGCUGUCUUCUCACUGUAUGCGUGGUGGACCUUCACUUAAUUUCUUAAAGUUAUAAUUUUUUUUUUAUCCCUUU